GACGAACGCUGGCGGCGUGCUUAACACAUGCAAGUCGAACGGCAAGGCCCUUCGGGGUACACGAGUGGCGAACGGGUGAGUAACACGUGGGUGAUCUGCCCUGCACUUCGGGAUAAGCCUGGGAAACUGGGUCUAAUACCGGAUAGGACCACUGCCUGCAUGGGUGGUGGUGGAAAGCUUUUGCGGUGUGGGAUGGGCCCGCGGCCUAUCAGCUUGUUGGUGGGGUGAUGGCCUACCAAGGCGACGACGGGUAGCCGGCCUGAGAGGGUGACCGGCCACACUGGGACUGAGAUACGGCCCAGACUCCUACGGGAGGCAGCAGUGGGGAAUAUUGCACAAUGGGCGCAAGCCUGAUGCAGCGACGCCGCGUGAGGGAUGACAGCCUUCGGGUUGUAAACCUCUUUCAGCACCGACGAAGCGCAAGUGACGGUAGGUGCAGAAGAAGGACCGGCCAACUACGUGCCAGCAGCCGCCGUAA
Molecule: ribosomal RNA, 478 nt
Filed under: uncultured bacterium
Lineage: Bacteria
Description: partial 16S ribosomal RNA
Rfam family: Bacterial small subunit ribosomal RNA
Source: RNAcentral